GAUGAAGAACGUAUUGAAAUGCGAUAAGUAAUGUGAAUUGCAGAAUUCAGUGAAUCAUCGAAUCUUUGAACGCACAUUGCGCCCCCUGGUAUUCCGGGGGGCAUGCCUGUUCGAGCGUCAUUUCAACCCUCAAGCUCUGCUUGGUAUUGGGCGUCGCCGGGGAGUCUCCCCGGCGUGCCUCAAAGCCAUCGGCGGUGGUGCCUUUCUCUAAGCGUGGUAGAAUUUUUAUUCGCUUCUGAGUUGGGCUUCGCCUGCCGGACAAACCGGGCCCUCGCGGCCCACCUUCUCAGGUUGACCUCGGAUCAGGUAGGGAUACCCGCUGAACUUAAGCAUAUCAAUAAGCGGAGGA
This 349-nucleotide unclassified non-coding RNA is filed under the name soil metagenome. Its description in RNAcentral is "partial contains 5.8S ribosomal RNA, internal transcribed spacer 2, and large subunit ribosomal RNA". The stretch from base 1 to 120 matches the Rfam family "5.8S ribosomal RNA", at positions 35 to 154 of the family's 154-position model. The record is from RNAcentral.